UAGGGAAUAUUGGUCAAUGGGCGAGAGCCUGAACCAGCCAUGCCGCGUGCAGGAUGACGGCCUUAUGGGUUGUAAACUGCUUUUAUACGGGAAGAAAAAGUCCUUGCGAGGAAAAUUGCCGGUACCGUAUGAAUAAGCACCGGCUAACUCCGUGCCAGCAGCCGCGGUAAUACGGAGGGUGCAAGCGUUGUCCGGAUUUAUUGGGUUUAAAGGGUACGUAGGCGGACUUUUAAGUCCGUGGUGAAAGCCUGCAGCUUAACUGUAGAAUUGCCAUGGAUACUGGAAGUCUUGAAUUCAGUUGAGGUAAGCGGAAUUUAUGAUGUAGCGGUGAAAUGCAUAGAUAUCAUAAAGAACACCUAUUGCGAAGGCAGCUUGCUGGACUUGGAUUGACGCUAAGGUACGAAAGCGUGGGGAGCGAACAGGAUUAGAUACCCCCGUAGUCC
Molecule: ribosomal RNA, 443 nt
Filed under: uncultured prokaryote
Description: bacterial SSU rRNA
Rfam family: Bacterial small subunit ribosomal RNA
Source: RNAcentral